Molecule: RNA transcript, 2506 nt
Organism: Magnolia sinica
Lineage: Eukaryota; Viridiplantae; Streptophyta; Magnoliopsida; Magnoliales; Magnoliaceae
Exons: 10
Source: RefSeq, a predicted model, not a curated record
CUCACUACCUGCGUCGGCGUUGUGUUCCACGAGGCAAUCCGAUUCCCCUCCCGCUCCGAAAACAUUGCAGUGCGGUAAGCUUAGGGUAGCGGCGACAGGAUCCGAUCAUUUCUUCUGCAUCAAAACCCGGUCUCAUCUCUUUCAAGAUGGAGGAAAAACCCUCACUAUCUCACCGCAAACGCCCCCUUUCAGAAGACGACGACGACGAACCUCUCCAACCUCCCACGGAGAAGAGGCCAAGGUUCCCAAAGGGCAAAAAGGUGAAAAAGGAUGAUGGAAUCUCUGCCCCGGAGCUGGCCGAAGUCCAUCCGAGCGGUUGGACGGACCCUCGGCUCGCAGCGAAGGAGCGUGCCAAGCGGCGGAAUCAGAUAACGGCGGAGCUCUUCAGUGAGCAAGGUGCGGGAAUUCUCCAAGAUGUUUCCUCUGCGGAAGUAAAUUAUGAGGGUAAUGGUAAUUUUGAGGAUGACGGAAUUUUGAUAGAACCUUUCAAUCUGAAGCAAGAAAGGGAAGAAGGGUAUUUUGACGCGGAUGGGAAUUUUGUCGAAUAUGUGAAUCAAAAUGAAAUUAAGGAUGCAUGGUUGGAUAGUGUUGAUGUUGAUACAAAACUUGCUGAUAAAAGAUAUAAGAAAACAGAUAAAGAAGGAGAAGAGUUCCAAGACCUUUCAUCCGAGGACAUUGGAAAGAUGAAGAGGCGGAUUGCCAAUCUGCUCCAGCCAAGCGAAACGGUUUUACAAGCUUUAAGAAGGUUGAAAGGAAUUUCUAAUGACAAGAAAGGAAGGAUGCCAGAAGAAACAAAACGUAUGUUUGACCAGCUAACAGAGGACGCCAUGAAACUGAUGGAGAAUGGUGAUUACAAUGUGUACCAUGAGAAGCAAGAGGUAUUUGAGCGAGAGGCAGAAGGAUAUGAGCGCUUAGCUCGUGCAAGGGAAGGUACAUCCAUGAGCGCUGGCGACUCAUUUGAUAUGUUCGGGGAAGAUGAUGAAAAUGCUGCUUUGAAUCAACCCUCUGACGCGGAUGGUUUGGGCUCUCAAUCUGGACCAGAAAGCUCAGUGCCAUCACAAAAUGUGGAAUCAGAGGUUACUACUAUAGCAGCAGUUCGGGGUACUACUACGACCCUACAUCAGGGCUAUACUGCUGUGCCACAUCAGGAAAAUGGUUCUCAUUUAAUGAGCAAACGGGUUCAUAUGAUGAAAUCACCGGGGAGGCUGCACCAGAUGCUGACUAAAGAAGGGACAUGCCCAAGUAAGCUUGGAUGUAACUUUUUCUUUUUAAAAUCAAAUCACAGGGGAGGCUGCACCAGAUGCGAACUAAAGAAGGGACAUGCCCAAGUAAGCUUGGAUGUAACUUUUUUCCUUUUCAACUCUUCACCUACGUAAGAAAAUUUGAAAGAGGAAGUUUGUGAUGUUGCCGAAUUUCUCAAGGAUUUUGUACGGAGCAAAAAGUUUAUUGUUACGUGAAGUUGGCCAUAUUCGGUUUUCCCCCCAAAAGUUUUAUUUCAGGGCACCAGCAUGCGUCAUCCCAUGGGCUCACAUGCAGAGAUGGUUGGAUGAUUGGAACUGCCCAGUUUCCGGGCACUGCUGUGGAUGGCCCACAAUCCAAAUUAUAAUGCUGUGAGGAUGAUCUCAUCCCAAGAUUUGUGUGAAUUGAGCAUGAUCUGUUGGAGAUUUUCAUCUCCAAUUACUGCAAAUCUGAUAUAGAUAGUCACAAUUAUUUAUUUUGCAUUAUGGACCAUUGCCAUUCACGAUAGCACCUAGAGGAUGGACAGUUUGGAAGAAAUUGCGGAUGGCCCAUUGGCCAUUUUGGGAUCAAGGCAAAAUUAUUUGGAAAAUGCUGUUGCCAUUUGCCAUUUCAUGGGAUAUUUGGGGGGGCAUUUGGAUCAUAAGUUGCUUAAGAUAAGCUACUUAUUACAGAAGUAGCUUAUCUUAGUUUCUACUUAUUAAGAAGAUUAGUUUGUUUGGCAAACAACAUUCUUACCAGCUUCUCCUUUCUUUUCUCUCCUGAUGCCUCUCUUCAGCAACUUAUGGAAUGUAGAAAUGCUUUAAAAAAUUACCCACAGUGACUGUACUUAUAAGUAAAAAAGUUACUUAUAACUCAUCAUAAACCAAACUUACCUGAAACAAUUCACUUAUCUACUGUUGUAAGUAGAAAAGGUUACUUUUUUGGUGGUAUCCAAAUGGGCCCUUGGAGAGAGAUGCUAGAAUAUUUGAAGGUAGAGUGGCAUGUUGGAGUUCAUCAAUCGGAAUAUUGUCUUUGGUUCUGGAAUGGGCGCUAGUCUUGUUGGAGUUCACCCGUCCAUCAUAUGCAGUGCUGAUUGGAGAUUUGGAAUCAGUUAUUUUGUAAUGAUUCCUGUCUUGGAUUUUGUAUAGAAAGCCAUGGUUUCUGGAGUUAUUGCUCUUCUUUCUUUUUGGCUGUUUUUUGUUGUUGCGGGAUGAGAGGGUCACCAGCUGUUGUUAAAUCUUUUUGGGCUUCUUUGUUUCUGUUUUGAGGUUUAUUGAAAUGGUCAAUU